RNAcentral lists this small RNA (561 nucleotides) under Pan troglodytes (chimpanzee). RNAcentral's name for it is "retained intron". Lineage: Eukaryota; Metazoa; Chordata; Mammalia; Primates; Hominidae. The record is from RNAcentral.
UGUGUGCUUAGGUGCCCGAGCUACUGAGGGUCUAAGUCCGGGCAGCCGAAGAGUGUGGUUAGCAAGAUGAACAAAGAUGCGCAGAUGAGAGCAGCGAUUAACCAAAAGUUGAUAGAAACUGGAGAAAGAGAACGCCUCAAAGAGUUGCUGAGAGCUAAAUUAAUUGAAUGUGGCUGGAAGGAUCAGUUGAAGGCACACUGUAAAGGUAAUCAGUUUCAUUUGGAAGAUAAACUAAUCCCAUUUUUCUGAUCAGGAUUGGUUUGGGGGUUGCUUAUUUUAAGGUAUAUUGAGUAUUCAAGCAUGAUUUUAAACAAAUAUGGAAUUUAAUCUUGUAAUGGUUUCCUCUUGGUGGCAUAUGUAGACCUAAUUCCCAAAUUUUUAGAAAUUUUCUGUUUCUGUUAAGCGUGAGCACUUAAGAUUUUCUCUGGCAUCAGAAUAUGGAAUCUCAUGUCUUUCAGCAACUUUAUUGUUUCUUAUGUUUUAACUUAAAUGGAACACUUUAGGGUUGGCAGACUUAUAGAAAUUAUCUCUUUCCUGUCUUUAACAGUGAAUAUUUGAAAA